AGUGAACGCUGGCGGUAGGCCUAACACAUGCAAGUCGAACGGCAGCACAGUAAGAGCUUGCUCUUACGGGUGGCGAGUGGCGGACGGGUGAGGCAUACAUCGGAAUCUACUUUUUCGUGGGGGAUAACGUAGGGAAACUUACGCUAAUACCGCAUACGACCUACGGGUGAAAGCAGGGGAUCUUCGCACCUUGCGCGAUUGAAUGAGCCGAUGUCGGAUUAGCUAGUUGGCGGGGUAAAGGCCCACCAAGGCGACGAUCCGUAGCUGGUCUGAGAGGAUGAUCAGCCACACUGGAACUGAGACACGGUCCAGACUCCUACGGGAGGCAGCAGUGGGGAAUAUUGGACAAUGGGCGCAAGCCUGAUCCAGCCAUACCGCGUGGGUGAAGAAGGCCUUCGGGUUGUAAAGCCCUUUUGUUGGGAAAGAAAAGCAGCAGGUUAAUACCCCGCUGUUCUGACGGUACCCAAAGAAUAAGCACCGGCUAACUUCGUG
This 492-nucleotide ribosomal RNA is filed under the name uncultured bacterium. RNAcentral's name for it is "partial 16S ribosomal RNA". It matches the Rfam family "Bacterial small subunit ribosomal RNA", at positions 29 to 507 of the family's 1533-position model. The record is from RNAcentral.